GGAGAUGAAAGAGACAAAGACGA
RNAcentral lists this non-coding RNA (23 nucleotides) under Arabidopsis thaliana (thale cress). The record is from RNAcentral. Lineage: Eukaryota; Viridiplantae; Streptophyta; Magnoliopsida; Brassicales; Brassicaceae.